This 837-nucleotide ribosomal RNA is filed under the name Triticum aestivum (bread wheat). RNAcentral's name for it is "partial small subunit ribosomal RNA". The record is from RNAcentral. Lineage: Eukaryota; Viridiplantae; Streptophyta; Magnoliopsida; Poales; Poaceae.
AUGGACGGCCAAGGCCUUUUAUUUUCGCAGCGCGGCACGAAGAAAACCAACCCCAAAACGCCCCGAAGCAUGGCAACCGUACCAUGUUGCGCCUCCUUCCUCCUGCUGCUCGUGCUACCCUGCUGCAUCCUGCACCCCGUGGCCGCCCAGGCCGCUGACGAGAGGCAUUCGCUGAUCCAGAUCAAGCGCGCGUUGGGCGAUCCGCCCGUGCUCGCGGCAUGGAAUGGCCCGACCGACCACUGCACCUGGCCCAACCUGACCUGCGACGCGUCGUCUGGGCGCGUCACCAGCCUCUCCCUCGCCAACACCGGCGUCGUCGGCCCGUUCCCUGAUGCAAUCGCCGGCCUCUCCCGCCUCACCAGCCUCAACAUCUCCAACAAUGACAUCACCGACGCCUUCCCGACCAGCGUGUACCGGUGUGCUCCACUCCGGCACCUCAAUUUGUCUGAUAAUUACAUCCACGGCGAGCUCCCCGUGGACAUCGGCAACGGCAUGCCACUGCUGCAGGCAAUGAACUUGUCCGGUAACCAGCUCUCUGGCGAGAUCCCAAGGAGCGUAGCCACGUUCAGCUACCUAACGCAGCUGAACAGGAAUCAGCUCGCCGGCGAGAUACCGGCUGAAUUGGGCGCCAUGCGGGUGCUCGACGCACUGGACCUGUCAUCAAACAAGCUAUCCGGCGACAUACCGCUGCCGCUCGGACUACAGCUCAGCUCGCUCAACCUGUCAUCCAACCAGCUCGACGGCCAGGUACCGGCAGGGCUCGCCACCGCCGCUUACGAUCGGAGCUUCCUUGGCAACCUCUGCUGGAAUUUUGUCUAUUUUGGACCAGUCCAAUAG